UACGUAGGGUGCAAGCGUUGUCCGGAAUUAUUGGGCGUAAGGAGCUCGUAGGCGGUUCGUCGCGUCGGCUGUGAAAACCCGGAGCUCAACUCCGGGCCUGCAGUCGAUACGGGCGGACUUGAGUGUUGCAGGGGAGACUGGAAUUCCUGGUGUAGCGGUGAAAUGCGUAGAGAUGUGGAGGAACACCAGUGGCGAAGGCGACUCUCUGGUCUGUAACUGACGCUGAGGCGCGAAAGCUAGGGGAGCGAACGGG
RNAcentral lists this ribosomal RNA (253 nucleotides) under uncultured bacterium. RNAcentral's name for it is "partial 16S ribosomal RNA". It matches the Rfam family "Bacterial small subunit ribosomal RNA", at positions 524 to 776 of the family's 1533-position model. The record is from RNAcentral.